Molecule: ribosomal RNA, 358 nt
Filed under: uncultured bacterium
Lineage: Bacteria
Description: bacterial SSU rRNA
Rfam family: Bacterial small subunit ribosomal RNA
Source: RNAcentral
CAGAGUGGCGGACGGGUGAGUAACGCGUGGGAAUGUGCCCUUAGGUUCGGAAUAACUCAGGGAAACGUGAGCUAAUACCGGAUGAGCCCGUAGGGGGAAAGAUUUAUUGCCGAAGGAUGGGCCCGCGUCGGAUUAGCUAGUUGGUGAGGUAAAGGCUCACCAAGGCGACGAUCGGUAGCUGGUCUGAGAGGAUGAUCAGCCACACUGGGAGUGAGACACGGCCCAGACUCCUACGGGAGGCAGCAGUGGGGAAUAUUGGACAAUGGGCGCAAGCCUGAUCCAGCCAUGCCGCGUGAGUGAUGAAGGCCUUAGGGUUGUAAAGCUCUUUCGCCCGGGACGAUAAUGACGGACCGGCAGA